UACGAAGGGGGCUAGCGUUGCUCGGAAUUACUGGGCGUAAAGGGCGCGUAGGCGGAUAGUUUAGUCAGAGGUGAAAGCCCAGGGCUCAACCUUGGAAUUGCCUUUGAUACUGGCCAUCUUGAGUUCGGGAGAGGUGAGUGGAAUGCCGAGUGUAGAGGUGAAAUUCGUAGAUAUUCGGCGGAACACCAGUGGCGAAAGGCGACUCACUGGCCCGAUACUGACGCU
Molecule: ribosomal RNA, 225 nt
Filed under: uncultured bacterium
Lineage: Bacteria
Description: partial 16S ribosomal RNA
Rfam family: Bacterial small subunit ribosomal RNA
Source: RNAcentral